This 83-nucleotide transfer RNA is filed under the name Salmo salar (Atlantic salmon). It matches the Rfam family "tRNA". From Rfam's summary of the family: Transfer RNA (tRNA) molecules are approximately 80 nucleotides in length. Their secondary structure includes four short double-helical elements and three loops (D, anti-codon, and T loops). Further hydrogen bonds mediate the characteristic L-shaped molecular structure. tRNAs have two regions of fundamental functional importance: the anti-codon, which is responsible for specific mRNA codon recognition, and the 3' end, to which the tRNAs corresponding amino acid is attached (by aminoacyl-tRNA synthetases). tRNAs cope with the degeneracy of the genetic code in two manners: having more than one tRNA (with a specific anti-codon) for a particular amino acid; and 'wobble' base-pairing, i.e. permitting non-standard base-pairing at the 3rd anti-codon position. Lineage: Eukaryota; Metazoa; Chordata; Actinopteri; Salmoniformes; Salmonidae. The record is from Rfam by way of RNAcentral.
GUCAGGAUGGCUGAGCGGUCUAAGGCGCUGGGUUCAGUUCGCAGUCUCCAUUGGAGGCGUGGGUUCAAAUGCCACUUCUGACA